GGUCCUGUAGCCUAGCGGUUAGGGCACCUGCCUUAUAAGCGGGAGAUCGUGGGUUCAAAUCCCGCCGGGACCACCA
This 76-nucleotide transfer RNA is filed under the name Sphingomonadales bacterium. RNAcentral describes it as "tRNA-Ile". It matches the Rfam family "tRNA". From Rfam's summary of the family: Transfer RNA (tRNA) molecules are approximately 80 nucleotides in length. Their secondary structure includes four short double-helical elements and three loops (D, anti-codon, and T loops). The record is from RNAcentral. Lineage: Bacteria; Pseudomonadati; Pseudomonadota; Alphaproteobacteria; Sphingomonadales.